This 253-nucleotide ribosomal RNA is filed under the name uncultured bacterium. Its description in RNAcentral is "partial 16S ribosomal RNA". It matches the Rfam family "Bacterial small subunit ribosomal RNA", at positions 524 to 776 of the family's 1533-position model. The record is from RNAcentral.
UACGAACUGUGCAAACGUUAUUCGGAAUCACUGGGCUUAAAGGGUGCGUAGGCGGGUUCAAAGGUCUGAUGUGAAAGCCCACGGCUCAACCGUGGAAUUGCGUUGGAAACCAUGAGCCUUGAGGAGAUCAGAGGAGAGCGGAACUGAUGGUGGAGCGGUGAAAUGCGUUGAUAUCAUCAGGAACACCGGUGGCGAAAGCGGCUCUCUGGGAUCUUUCUGACGCUGAGGCACGAAAGCUAGGGGAGCGAACGGG